AAUGCAUGUACACAAAAGUGUCGGAAUUAUAGCGACUGUUCAGGAAUUCAACAAAUAUUCAACCGCUUUGCAUCCCCUUGUGCAUGUUUUCGUCCUUUUCUCGUUGACAAAUGGCAUCUAACAAUAUGCCAGCCAACUUAUGUCCACUCACCCACGGUAAGGCAUGUCAGUAGUGAAGACGGCUAAAAUCUAAUAAUUCCAGCGACUUGGAUCUCUACUGCUGUUGGAACGACACGUAUUGUUAUCACCAAAAACCAAUUUAGGGCAUAUUUCCUCUCGAGUUUGGACUUAUUAAAAAAUCGCUUAAAUUAUUAGAAAGCUUCAGUUCGUUAAAAUAAUUUAUGAAACUAACAGUUCUAAAUAUAAUAGAUUUCGAUUAAAUUGUGUUGUACCGUAGGAAAAAAGCCAAAAAGCGAAAAUAAUAGCUUCGUUCCUAAACUAAUGAAAGUAUCAAGCAAACAUCAAAUAUCGGCCGUCGCGGAGGAUCCGUUCUAAUUACUGUUUCGCUCACGCUCCUUUUCCGAGGAUUUAUUCAAAAUCACUUAGAUCAAAAAAAGAAUUUGUUAGAACAUUUGCGGCCCCAUGAUGAAAUAAUAACCAGGUGAAGUAACUAAGCAAUUGUCUCCCUCCCGCCAGCUGCCUUAGCAAGACUUGUUGCUUUUAUAGAAUUAUAUUCCCAUGUUUAAAUAAAAAUCUUGGAAAGAAGCGUGAACUUAAACUUUUUCAUCUUUGAAAAGAGUAGACAUCACUACAGAUGUUUCAAUGACUGAAUGACUGCUGAAAUGUCAAUCUGUUACAAAUAAAAUUGAAAUUGUUUUCUUUGAAAAAUUAUGUUGUCGCAAGAUAGAUUUUGUAAUAUAAACAUGCAAUAAAUAUAUUUAUUCUUAGUUCAUAAUUGGUCAGUGUCGCAUCUUUACACAAAGCGGGAAUUUAAUCGUUGGAGCUGUGCAAUGCAUGAAAAUAUUUUGCACACGUAAAAAAUAUCAGUGAAAAUUUCAUUACUAAGAGAUUAUGACAAAAACAUGUGAACCCCGCUAGGAAGUGCACCAUGCAUAUAUGCGAUAUUUUCUACAAUUCUCUAUAAAAAAAAAUACGUAAUAAAUGCUAUUUUUUAAAUAAAUUCUAUAACUUUAUUUAAAUUA
Ceratitis capitata (Mediterranean fruit fly) is the source of this 1142-nucleotide long non-coding RNA. RefSeq lists it as uncharacterized. NCBI's taxonomy places the organism in Eukaryota, Metazoa, Arthropoda, Insecta, Diptera, Tephritidae. The transcript has 2 exons. The record is from RefSeq and is a predicted model, not a curated record.